This is a long non-coding RNA of Vigna radiata var. radiata (mung bean), 1919 nucleotides long. RefSeq lists it as uncharacterized. Lineage: Eukaryota; Viridiplantae; Streptophyta; Magnoliopsida; Fabales; Fabaceae. The record is from RefSeq and is a predicted model, not a curated record. The transcript is spliced from 4 exons.
UCUCACAUUUAGAUGUGGAAAUUAAAAACAACUGAGAAUUUAAGAGAAAUCUUUGCUUUCUAAAGAAGGAUGUGGUAACAGCAAAAGAUAAUUUUUUUAGUAUAAAGAAGUUUAAAGACUAAUUUGAUACUUUAGAGAACAAUCUUGUUAUGCCUCGUUGGAUCAUGUGGCUCCUGCUGCUGCCUGGAUAAUCAUGGUGUCUGGUAAUCAAGUUGCAGAAGUAGCAACACUUCAGUGAGACUUUCUUUCAGUCUGAGAGAUCAUUGUAACGGUAGAAAAAUUAUUAGCUGAUUUAGAGGAAAAGAAACUCAAAUUUCUAAGUGUAAAAACUGUGACUCUUAUGUGGUAUUUACCGACUCCACGGUUAUGAUCAUUUUUAUCUCUUUUCGUGUCUCUCUUCUCCUUUUGUACCAUUUUGUGCUCUACUUUUUCUAGGUUGGAUCUUAUGCAGGAACGAGACAAAGUGCUUCUCCUAAAGCUGCAAAACGCAGUCUGCAUCUGUGAGGAAGCACGUGACCAUUUUUUGAUCUCCUAAGUAAUACUCAUGAAAGAGUUUGUCUAAACAUAUGUGUGUUGAGUAUCAUAUUUAUUGCUUUUAAUGUUCAUGAGAAAACCUAAACAACAUAAUCUAAAAUUGAAUGCUGACUUGGAAAGUUAGAAUAAUGUUUUAUUUCACAUAUUAUCUGAUGAUCUACGUAUGUGAGUUGCUCGAUCUAUGGUAAGGGUUUAUAUUCUGUGAUUAUAUCAAUGUGUUUGAUAAAAUUACAGAAGAGACUGUUAUGAAGACACAUUUAUCAUAUUUAUUAGAUUAUAUGAUGUUCUUGGGUUUUACAUUGUACUGUUUCACUCUGGUAUUGGUUCCGUUGUAAUCGAUUUAUGUAUAUAUUAUCUGAUGCGUUUUCUUGCCCAAGUUUCAAAAUUUCAAGUAUGGUAAUUACAAAGAUAAGCCACUCAGGAUUUGUGUCAUGUUUUGUAACCUCUAUUGUAUCAAUUUUUGAAACAGCGGUGCGAAAUGGACACCAUUGCACCGCACAUCUUCACCAACGAAACAAAUCAACCAAUCCCCUAUCUUUUCAUUUCGGAUCAUUUCAGACGCAUGUUACGUAAUUUUGACACGUGUUUUCUACUAUCUCAUUCUAUCUUAACAGCACCUAUUCUGUCAGCUUUCGUUUUUCUACGUGAUAACAAUUCCAAGGUUUUUCGUGCAUUAUGGUUCCAUUGAAGAACUAUAAUGCUGGAAACGAAAUCUGAGGCCACGUUACUCGUGUUGAAUGUGCUCUCUGAUGUUUCUUGGCUGGCAAAGUUGAAGGAGAUAUUGUGCUAGAUGCAGAGUACCACUGUCACGCUGUGAUUUUGAAUCUUAGCUCGUGCCUCUUGCGUGUUUCGAAGAAGCCAGCUGCAAAGAAGCUUCUGCGUCGAGUUGAAUUGACCAUCUCAGAGCUUAAAUUUAGAAUCUGGAAGGAGGAUGACAGUGUUAUAGCUCUAUCACCAGAUAAUGGCAAUGAUGUGAUGGACCUUGUAAUUUUCUGUCCCUUUCAUUGAAACUUGAGGCCGAGAUAGAUGAGGUUCUGCAGAAUUUUAGAAAGUACCAGGAGCUUGAAUAUAUGGGGCUGAAGAAAGACUUCAAGCACAAAAAAACCUAUCUUCAAAAUAUAUAUCUGGAAUAUGAAAAAAAUGUAUUGGCUGCCUCAAAGGUCUCAUCAAGUGCAGUAAGAGAAAGAAAGAUAGGUUUUCUGUGGUUGAAGUUUUUCUUCAGCCACCUUAUAUUAAAACGGGAGCGGGAUAAAUUUGAAAUGAUGAAGAAGGUAGCCAAUGGUUUUAGCAGGACGCUCCCACAAUAUUAUCAAGAAACACUUUUUGCUUUAAAGUGAUAGAUUAUUAAAUUGCAAAUCUUCUGUGACUAUUUGAAUUUUCUCCAA